GAAAUGCGAUAAGUGAUGUGAAUUGCAGAAUUCAGUGAAUCAUCGAAUCUUUGAACGCACAUUGCGCCUAUUAGUAUUCUAGUAGGCAUGCCUGUUCGAGCGUCAUUUCAACCCUCAAGCCCUGGUUGCUUGGUGUUGGGAGCUUGCUGUGAAACGCAACCCCUCAAAGCUAGCUGGCAGAGUCGGGAUGCACUCUAAGCGUAGUAAACUUGAUAGUCUCGCUUCUGCAGUUGUCCCGGCCGUCUUGCCAUAAAAGCCCAAACUUUUUUUGUUUUCUAUGGUUGACCUCGGAUCAGGUAGGAAUACCCGCUGAACUUAAGC
Molecule: unclassified non-coding RNA, 321 nt
Filed under: plant metagenome
Description: partial contains 5.8S ribosomal RNA, internal transcribed spacer 2, and large subunit ribosomal RNA
Rfam family: 5.8S ribosomal RNA (bases 1-105)
Source: RNAcentral